GACGAACGCUGGCGGCGUGCUUAACACAUGCAAGUCGAACGGAAAGGCCCUGCUUUUGUGGGGUGCUCGAGUGGCGAACGGGUGAGUAACACGUGAGUAACCUGCCCUUGACUUUGGGAUAACUGCAGGAAACUGGGGAUAAUACCGGAUAGGAGCUCCUGCUGCAUGUUGGGGGUUGGAAAGUUUCGGCGGUUGGGGAUGGACUCGCGGGUUAUCAGCUUGUUGGUGGGGGAGUGGCUUACCAAGGCUUUGACGGGUAGCCGGCCUGAGAGGGUGACCGGCCACAUUGGGACUGAGAUACGGCGCAGACUCGUACGGGAGGCAGCAGUGGGGAAUAUUGCACAAUGGGGGGAAGCCUGAUACAGCAACGCCGCGUGCGGGAAGACGGCCUUCGGGUGGUAAACCGCUUUCGCCUGUGACGAAGCGGGAGUGACGGUAAUGGGUAAAGAAGCACCGGCUAACUACGUG
This 468-nucleotide ribosomal RNA is filed under the name uncultured bacterium. RNAcentral's name for it is "partial 16S ribosomal RNA". It matches the Rfam family "Bacterial small subunit ribosomal RNA", at positions 28 to 507 of the family's 1533-position model. The record is from RNAcentral.